Molecule: ribosomal RNA, 538 nt
Filed under: Cladosporium sp. N56
Lineage: Eukaryota; Fungi; Ascomycota; Dothideomycetes; Cladosporiales; Cladosporiaceae
Description: eukaryotic LSU rRNA
Rfam family: 5.8S ribosomal RNA (bases 184-337)
Source: RNAcentral
CGUAGGUGACCUGCGGAGGGAUCAUUACAAGUGACCCCGGUCUAACCACCGGGAUGUUCAUAACCCUUUGUUGUCCGACUCUGUUGCCUCCGGGGCGACCCUGCCUUCGGGCGGGGGCUCCGGGUGGACACUUCAAACUCUUGCGUAACUUUGCAGUCUGAGUAAACUUAAUUAAUAAAUUAAAACUUUUAACAACGGAUCUCUUGGUUCUGGCAUCGAUGAAGAACGCAGCGAAAUGCGAUAAGUAAUGUGAAUUGCAGAAUUCAGUGAAUCAUCGAAUCUUUGAACGCACAUUGCGCCCCCUGGUAUUCCGGGGGGCAUGCCUGUUCGAGCGUCAUUUCACCACUCAAGCCUCGCUUGGUAUUGGGCAACGCGGUCCGCCGCGUGCCUCAAAUCGACCGGCUGGGUCUUCUGUCCCCUAAGCGUUGUGGAAACUAUUCGCUAAAGGGUGUUCGGGAGGCUACGCCGUAAAACAACCCCAUUUCUAAGGUUGACCUCGGAUCAGGUAGGGAUACCCGCUGAACUUAAGCAUAUCAUA